RNAcentral lists this ribosomal RNA (376 nucleotides) under uncultured bacterium. RNAcentral's name for it is "bacterial SSU rRNA". It matches the Rfam family "Bacterial small subunit ribosomal RNA", at positions 521 to 896 of the family's 1533-position model. The record is from RNAcentral.
UAAGACGAACCGUCCUAACGUUGUUCGGAUUCACUGGGCUUAAAGGGCGCGUAGGCGGGUGAGCAAGUCCGGGGUGAAAUCUUUCGGCUUAACCGGAAAACGGCCUUGGAUACUGCUCAUCUUGAGGGAGGUAGGGGUCUGUGGAACUUCCGGUGGAGCGGUGAAAUGCGUUGAUAUCGGAAGGAACGCCGGUGGCGAAAGCGACGGACUGGACCUCUUCUGACGCUGAGGCGCGAAAGCCAGGGUAGCGAACGGGAUUAGAUACCCCGGUAGUCCUGGCCCUAAACGAUGGGUACUAGGUAGUGGACUUAACAUGGGUUCACUGCCGAAGCAAAAGUGGUAAGUACCCCGCCUGGGGAGUAUGGUCGCAAGGCUG